RNAcentral lists this ribosomal RNA (468 nucleotides) under uncultured bacterium. Its description in RNAcentral is "partial 16S ribosomal RNA". It matches the Rfam family "Bacterial small subunit ribosomal RNA", at positions 28 to 507 of the family's 1533-position model. The record is from RNAcentral.
GACGAACGCUGGCGGCGGGCUUAACACAUGCAAGUCGAACGGAAAGGCCCUGCUUUUGUGGGGUGCUCGAGUGGCGAGCGGGUGAGUAACACGUGAGUCACCUUCCCUUGACUGUGUGAUAACUUGAGGAAACUGGGGCUAAUACCUGCUAGGAGCUCCUGCUGCAUGGUGGGGUUUGGAAAGCUUCGGCGGUUGUGGAUGGAUGCGGGGUUUAUCAGCUGGUUGGUGGGGUAGUGGCUUAUCCAGGGAUUGGUGGGUGGGCGGCCUGGGAGGGUGACCAGCGACAUUGGGACUGAGAUACGGAGCAGUCUGCAACGGGAGGCAGCAGGGGGGAGUAUUGCACAAUGGGCGGAAGCGUGAUGCAGAGACGCCGCGUGCGGGAUGAAGGCCUUCGGGUUGUAAACCGCUUUCGCCUGUGACGAAGCGUGAGUGACGGUAAUGGGUAAAGAAGCACCGGCUAACUACGUG